RNAcentral lists this unclassified non-coding RNA (279 nucleotides) under plant metagenome. Its description in RNAcentral is "partial contains small subunit ribosomal RNA, internal transcribed spacer 1, and 5.8S ribosomal RNA". The record is from RNAcentral.
UUUCCGUAGGUGAACCUGCGGAAGGAUCAUUAUUGUAUAACCGAGGUGCGAGGGCUUUCGAUGAUACGAAAGGUUGCGCAGGCCGGAGCGCCCCCGCACACACCCAUCCCACCCCUACGUGCACCACCGCGCCGGUACCCCUUUGGCAUGUUAGGAGGGGGGCUUUCGACUUCACACAAACUUUAAAUGUAGUGUAAAAGGUAUUUUUUUUUUUUGCGAGAACGAAAUCAAAACAACUCUGAACAACGGACCUCUUGGCUCCCGUCUCGAGGAAGAACA